CCCCUAGAUGUUCUGGGCCGCACGCGUGCUACACUGAGUGGAUCAGCGGGUCAGGUUGCGCGAAAGCGUUUCCUAAUCUUUAAAUCCGCUCGUGAUGGGGAUUGACGGUUGCAAUUUUCUGUCAUGAACGAGGAAUACCUUGUAAGCGCGGGUCAUCAUCCCGCGCUGAAUACGUCCCUGCCCUUUGUACACACCGCCCGUCGCUCCUACCGAUUGAGUGGUCCGGUGAGGCUUUGGGAUCUGAGCGGAAAGAGCGUUUCGCUGUUUCUGCCCGGAAAACUCAGUCGAACCUUAUCAUUUAGAGGAAGGAGAAGUCGUAACA
RNAcentral lists this ribosomal RNA (322 nucleotides) under uncultured eukaryote. RNAcentral's name for it is "partial 18S ribosomal RNA". It matches the Rfam family "Eukaryotic small subunit ribosomal RNA", at positions 1470 to 1796 of the family's 1831-position model. The record is from RNAcentral.